RNAcentral lists this ribosomal RNA (493 nucleotides) under uncultured bacterium. RNAcentral's name for it is "bacterial SSU rRNA". It matches the Rfam family "Bacterial small subunit ribosomal RNA", at positions 18 to 518 of the family's 1533-position model. The record is from RNAcentral.
UCUGGCUCAGGACGAACGCUGGCGGCGUGCUUAACACAUGCAAGUCGAACGGUGAACGAGGGAGCUUGCUCCCUCCGGAUCAGUGGCGAACGGGUGAGUAACACGUGAGCAAUCUGCCCCGAACUCUGGGAUAAGCGUUGGAAACGACGUCUAAUACCGGAUACGACGCGGGAGGGCAUCCUCUCCGCGUGGAAAGAACUUCGGUUCGGGAUGAGCUCGCGGCCUAUCAGCUUGUUGGUGAGGUAACGGCUCACCAAGGCGACGACGGGUAGCCGGCCUGAGAGGGUGACCGGCCACACUGGGACUGAGACACGGCCCAGACUCCUACGGGAGGCAGCAGUGGGGAAUAUUGCACAAUGGGCGCAAAAGCCUGAUGCAGCAACGCCGCGUGAGGGACGACGGCCUUCGGGUUGUAAACCUCUUUUAGUAGGGAAGAAGCGAAAGUGACGGUACCUGCAGAAAAAGCACCGGCUAACUACGUGCCAGCCGCCGC